CCGAUGGGGCCAGAGGUUUGCUUUCUUUGUCCACUGGAGGGCAGCAGAAAGCACAAACCUGCCUUCCAGAGCUUUGCACCCAGGCUAACGCCCAACACAGGCCUCCCAAGCGGCAGGAGAAAGGCUAAGAAAGGAAGGACAUUCUGACAGGUGCCACAAGAUGGAUGAACCUUAAGGACAUUGUGCUAACUGAAACAAGCCAGUCACAAAAAGACAAAUACUGAUUGCAGCAGGAGAGGACUACAGAUAGCAUGGGAUUGGAGGAAGAACUCUGGCCCUGGAGACAGUAUCAUCAAGCAGUAGCUUCAUCUUUGCGAGCUGGGGCCUCGACAGAAGCUUUCUUCUCCUCUAUACAGGCUGAGCCUGUCUCAACCCGACCCCCCACCUGCACCCCAGUCCUUUGGGGUCACCUUAAGGCUUUGGCUGAUGCUUCUUUGCUGAUGUCAACCAAGGUGAUGGACCUGUUUGUCCUCAUAAAGUAACUCUCGAACGGGCAUGCACUUCUUCCUCCCUCCUCUUGCUUUGAAGGCUGGGUGGACACCUGCCACCAUGGGCAGGGUGAGAGCCAGCCCCAUACCUGCGAGGUCAGAAAGCAACUGUCCCUGGCCUGUGGGUGUCUCUCAGAGGGGCCAGGCCUUCCUCACCACGUGUCCCCAGCACCUAGCCUGGGACCUGGCCCAGGGGCACGCUCAGUAAACGCUGGCUGAGAAUUAAGGGGGACUUUCCAGUUCCUAUCCAACUCUUUCAUUUUCUUUCUUUUUCUUUUUUUGAGACAGAUUCUUAGUCUGUCAUCCAGGCUGGGGUGCAGUGGCGUGAUCUUGACUCACUACAACAUCCGCCUCCUUCCUGAGUGGGUCGUGAUCCUCAUGUUGCUCAUAGCAAAAGAGGCCGAGAAUUAGAGUGAUCAAACCAUCCUGGUUUACCAUGUCUGAGGAGUUUAUUGAAAUACAGAGUUUUCAGUGCUGAAAACAAGAGUCCCAGGACAAUUCCCAAUGGUUAGUCACCCUACAGAACAACCGUACCAACAGGAUUAGCUCUCACACACCCACCUGGGCACGCACGUGUUACACAAUUACUCCCCUUUCUGUUGCUAUCAUAGAACCCCUGAGACUGGGUAAUUGACAAAGAAAAGGGGUUUGUUUCCCACAGUUCUGGAGGUUGGGAAGUCCAAGAUAGGGUGGCUGCAUCUGGUCAGCUUCUGGGGAGGGCCUUGUGCUGUGUUGUAACAUGGCAGAAGGCAUCGUAGGUGAGUGGAAGAGAAAGCUGAGGCAGCCAAACUCACUUUUGUAAUGACCUGCUCUCAAUAACUAACCCACUCCUAUGAGAAUUAACCCACUCCUGUGACAAAGGCAUUAAUCCCUCCUAAUGACCUGAUCCCCUCUUCAAGGCCCCACCUCCCAAUACCAUUUCACUGGGAACCAAAUUUCUACAUGUGUUUUGGAGGAGAUGAACCACAUCCGAACCAUAGC
This is a long non-coding RNA of Sapajus apella (tufted capuchin), 1469 nucleotides long. RefSeq lists it as uncharacterized. Lineage: Eukaryota; Metazoa; Chordata; Mammalia; Primates; Cebidae. The transcript has 3 exons. The record is from RefSeq and is a predicted model, not a curated record.